This 455-nucleotide ribosomal RNA is filed under the name uncultured Cellulomonas sp. RNAcentral describes it as "bacterial SSU rRNA". It matches the Rfam family "Bacterial small subunit ribosomal RNA", at positions 927 to 1382 of the family's 1533-position model. The record is from RNAcentral. Lineage: Bacteria; Bacillati; Actinomycetota; Actinomycetes; Micrococcales; Cellulomonadaceae.
AAGCGGCGGAGCAUGCGAUUAAUUCGAUGCAACGCGAAGAACCUUACCAAGGCUUGACAUACACCGGUAACGCCCAGAGAUGGGUGCCCCUUUGUGGUCGGUGGACAGGUGGUGCAUGGUUGUCGUCAGCUCGUGUCGUGAGAUGUUGGGUUAAGUCCCGCAACGAGCGCAACCCCUCGUCCUAUGUUGCCAGCGGGUCAUGCCGGGGACUCAUGGGAGACUGCCGGGGUCAACUCGGAGGAAGGUGGGGAUGACGUCAAAUCAUCAUGCCCCUUAUGUCUUGGGCUUCACGCAUGCUACAAUGGCCGGUACAAAGGGCUGCGAUACCGCGAGGUGGAGCGAAUCCCAGAAAGCCGGUCUCAGUUCGGAUUGGGGUCUGCAACUCGACCCCAUGAAGUCGGAGUCGCUAGUAAUCGCAGAUCAGCAACGCUGCGGUGAAUACGUUCCCGGGCCUU